This 253-nucleotide ribosomal RNA is filed under the name uncultured bacterium. RNAcentral describes it as "partial 16S ribosomal RNA". It matches the Rfam family "Bacterial small subunit ribosomal RNA", at positions 524 to 776 of the family's 1533-position model. The record is from RNAcentral.
UACGUAGGUGGCAAGCGUUGUCCGGAUUUACUGGGCGUAAAGGGCGUGCAGGCGGUUUGUUAAGUGCAGGGUGAAAGCUCCCGGCUCAACUGGGAGAGGUCCUUGCAUACUGGCAGACUUGAGGGAGGCAGAGGAGAGUGGAAUUCCCGGUGUAGUGGUGAUAUGCGUAGAUAUCGGGAGGAACACCUGUGGCGAAGGCGGCUUUCUGGGCCUUACCUGACGCUGAGACGCGAAAGCGUGGGGAGCGAACCGG